This is a long non-coding RNA of Lontra canadensis (Northern American river otter), 252 nucleotides long. RefSeq lists it as uncharacterized. The transcript is spliced from 3 exons. The record is from RefSeq and is a predicted model, not a curated record. NCBI's taxonomy places the organism in Eukaryota, Metazoa, Chordata, Mammalia, Carnivora, Mustelidae.
CUAAAGGACCGUUACCAGUCUGUUUCCAGUGGGGAGACAGAACAGAAAGCCACCAACUCCUGCUGGCUGGGACAUCUUAGUCAGUGAGUCUGUAGUUCCUGAUGCCACUGGUCCUCCUCCAUCUGCUUCGGCACGAGCUCCCUGCCUCUCUUCUCUGGCUGCUCAGCCUGCCCUCAGCCACGACACCAUGAGCAAGCUGAACCCAGUCCGUGACUUCAAAGCCUACACCGAGAGUGCCUCGGCUUCCCUCUC